UGGGCAACCUGCCCCUCUCUCUGGGAUAACCCCGGGAAACCGGAGCUAAUACCGGAUACUCCGGCUGGAUCGCAUGGUCCGGCCGGGAAAGGUCCGCCGGAGAGGGAUGGGCCCGCGGCCUAUCAGCUUGUUGGUGGGGUCAUGGCUCACCAAGGCGACGACGGGUAGCUGGUCUGAGAGGACGACCAGCCACACUGGAACUGAGAUACGGUUCAGACUCCUACGGGAGCA
This 231-nucleotide ribosomal RNA is filed under the name uncultured bacterium. RNAcentral's name for it is "partial 16S ribosomal RNA". It matches the Rfam family "Bacterial small subunit ribosomal RNA", at positions 118 to 347 of the family's 1533-position model. The record is from RNAcentral.